This 484-nucleotide ribosomal RNA is filed under the name uncultured bacterium. Its description in RNAcentral is "partial 16S ribosomal RNA". It matches the Rfam family "Bacterial small subunit ribosomal RNA", at positions 30 to 507 of the family's 1533-position model. The record is from RNAcentral.
AUUGAACGCUGGCGGCAGGCCUAACACAUGCAAGUCGAGCGGAUGAAGGGAGCUUGCUCCUGGAUUCAGCGGCGGACGGGUGAGUAAUGCCUAGGAAUCUGCCUGGUAGUGGGGGAUAACGUCUGGAAACGGGCGCUAAUACCGCAUACGUCCUGAGGGAGAAAGUGGGGGAUCUUCGGACCUCACGCUAUCAGAUGAGCCUAGGUCGGAUUAGCUAGUUGGUGGGGUAAAGGCCUACCAAGGCGACGAUCCGCAACUGGUCUGAGAGGAUGAUCAGUCACACUGGAACUGAGACACGGUCCAGACUCCUACGGGAGGCAGCAGUGGGGAAUAUUGGACAAUGGGCGAAAGCCUGAUCCAGCCAUGCCGCGUGUGUGAAGAAGGUCUUCGGAUUGUAAAGCACUUUAAGUUGGGAGGAAGGGCAGUAAGUUAAUACCUUGCUGUUUUGACGUUACCAACAGAAUAAGCACCGGCUAACUUCGUG